CCAACCCUAUAUAAAGGCCGCACAGGAAGCUCGCGGUCUUUUUGUUCCUGAGGCGCGGAGGUGCGAGAGGGCCUCGUGCGGCCCCCGCGUUUAAGAUGCAUCAGCUAUACUAUUCCUUCUUGUGGCUUCAAAACAGAUCUGCCACCAAAUGCACAGCCUUGACGCCACUUCACAAGGAUUUGACUCCUGCACUCAGCAGACAUGCAGAAGGAACAUCACCUGGCACUGGGAGAUGAAGCUCUAACGGUAAACAUUGCAUUGCCU
Molecule: long non-coding RNA, 264 nt
Organism: Chiroxiphia lanceolata (lance-tailed manakin)
Lineage: Eukaryota; Metazoa; Chordata; Aves; Passeriformes; Pipridae
Exons: 5
Source: RefSeq, a predicted model, not a curated record